Molecule: ribosomal RNA, 629 nt
Filed under: uncultured fungus
Lineage: Eukaryota; Fungi
Description: eukaryotic LSU rRNA
Rfam family: Eukaryotic large subunit ribosomal RNA
Source: RNAcentral
UCGGAUCAGGUAGGGAUACCCGCUGAACUUAAGCAUAUCAAUAAGCGGAGGAAAAGAANCCAACAGGGAUUACCUCAGUAACGGCGAGUGAAGCGGUAACAGCUCAAAUUNGAAAUCUGGCCCUCUCAGGGUCCGAGUUGUAAUUUGUAGAAGAUGCUUCGGGUGUGGCUCCGGUCUAAGUUUCUUGGAACAGGACGUCAUGGAGGGUGAGAAUCCCGUAUGUGACUGGCUGCCUCCGCCCGUGUGAAGCUCUUUCGACGAGUCGAGUUGUUUGGGAAUGCAGCUCAAAAUGGGUGGUAAAUUUCAUCUAAAGCUAAAUAUUGGCCAGAGACCGAUAGCGCACAAGUAGAGUGAUCGAAAGAUGAAAAGCACUUUGGAAAGAGAGUUAAACAGUACGUGAAAUUGUUGAAAGGGAAGCGCUUGCAAUCAGACUUGCGCGCGGCCGAUCAUCCGGGGUUCUCCCCGGUGCACUCGGCCGCGUUCAGGCCAGCAUCGGUUUGGGUGGCUGGAUAAAGGCCUUGGGAAUGUAGCUUCUUUCGGGGGGUGUUAUAGCCCUCGGUGCAAUGCAGCCUACCCGGACCGAGGACCGCGCUUCGGCUAGGAUGCUGGCGUAAUGGUUGUAAGCGACC